CCUGGCGGUCAUAGCGGAGAGGAAACACCCGAUCUCAUUCCGAACUCGGAAGUUAAGCUCUCCAGCGACUUGAGUUGUACUGUCUUUCGACGGGAACCUCAUGACGCUGCCAGAC
Molecule: ribosomal RNA, 115 nt
Filed under: Candidatus Nanohalarchaeota archaeon
Lineage: Archaea; Nanobdellati; Candidatus Nanohalarchaeota
Source: RNAcentral